RNAcentral lists this long non-coding RNA (602 nucleotides) under Nicotiana benthamiana. RNAcentral describes it as "long non-coding RNA (NBEN_LNC009725)". The record is from RNAcentral. Lineage: Eukaryota; Viridiplantae; Streptophyta; Magnoliopsida; Solanales; Solanaceae.
AGAUGUAAUAAUAUGGUAAUCUCCUGGUUAACUGCCUCCCUGACCCCUCAUAUUGCUGAAAGUGUGCAGUAUUCUGAUACUGCACAGAGUAUAUGGUCACAGCUUGAGACCAUAUAUGGCACUGCCAAUAGGAAUAAAUUUUUGAACUAAAAAGAGAGCUUUCUCACACUUCUCAAGGGUCUCUAGAUGUAGCCUCAUAUUUUAACAAACUUAAAGGACUGUGGGAUGAUUUAGGAACAAUGUGUACAAAUCAUGGGCAAGAUGUGUUUGUGCUGCCAAAAAUGGCGUAAUACAGGAAUAUGAUGAGAAUAAGGUGUUUUAGUUUCUCAUGGGCCUUAAUGAAGCAUACAUGGGGGUAAUGAGUAACCUACUGAUGAUGCAGCCACCUCCUACCCUUGACAGUGUCUACAAUAUGGUCCUCAAUGAUGAGAAACAGAGACAAGUCCAGUCCCCUUCCCAUUUUAAUCCAGACUCUAUGUCUUCAAUGUCCACACAAAUAGACAUUCAGUUGGAUUCAAUAAGGUCCCAGUGCCUAAUCCUCUCCUUUCAGACAAAGAGUUAAUUUUGACCAAGCUAGAGGCUCUUUAUUCUGUAGAUACUGC